This 475-nucleotide ribosomal RNA is filed under the name uncultured organism. RNAcentral's name for it is "partial 16S ribosomal RNA". It matches the Rfam family "Bacterial small subunit ribosomal RNA", at positions 331 to 797 of the family's 1533-position model. The record is from RNAcentral.
GUACACUCCUGCGGGAGGCAGCAGUGGGGAAUUUUGGACAAUGGGCGAAAGCCUGAUCCAGCAAUGCCGCGUGAGUGAAGAAGGCCUUCGGGUUGUAAAGCUCUUUUGUCAGGGAAGAAACGGUGAAAGCUAACAUCUUUUGCUAAUGACGGUACCUGAAGAAUAAGCACCGGCUAACUACGUGCCAGCAGCCGCGGUAAUACGUAGGGUGCAAGCGUUAAUCGGAAUUACUGGGCGUAAAGCGUGCGCAGGCGGUUUUGUAAGUCUGAUGUGAAAUCCCCGGGCUCAACCUGGGAAUUGCAUUGGAGACUGCAAGGCUAGAAUCUGGCAGAGGGGGGUAGAAUUCCACGUGUAGCAGUGAAAUGCGUAGAUAUGUGGAGGAACACCGAUGGCGAAGGCAGCCCCCUGGGUCAAGAUUGACGCUCAUGCACGAAAGCGUGGGGAGCAAACAGGAUUAGAUACCCAAGUAGUCCCA